AGUACCAACCCGACUACAAAGACAUCAGCAAAUCCAUGCAGCACCAGAAGUCGCAUUAAUGACGGUCCGACAUGCUCAUGCGCUGGAGAGGCUGGUUCAAUAUACCCACCGUGUGAACCGAGUCUCCUGGAUUCAUGGUGUCCCAUGCAUGGAGAGCAAGAACAUAAUGCCUGCAGAACUAUUGGUUUUUAUUUUGUUACUUACUGUUGACCAACCCACGCUGUACCAAAGAGGACGAUCACGGCCAGGAAGAACUGAGGCACAGGUGUGGCACGGGUCACGCUGGUGCCGUGACUCGGAUUAUCUUCGUCUUACGGUUCUCAAUUCACUUUGUGGGGCCCGACGUCCACCCCACCGCCCUCACUAGGCAGGUGGGCCGCGACUUCCGCCCGUACCGCCCCCUCCACCUUGUCGGUCGGCUCCCGCCGGGCCCCCCGCAGACCCGAGUGAUCGGGCCCCCCGCGCUAGGGCCCUCUCUGAGGGACAUACUCGUGCUGCUGGCUCGUAGCCACGGAGUUAAACCACGCACCCGUGCACACCACAGCUGUCGCUGACGCAGGGGGGGGGGGGGGUACGAACGCGCUUGUACCUGCGGCCGAUUAUCUCUAAAUGCGCGCCCGUGCACACCGCAGCAAUCGUAACAGGUAAAUGCUAGGUAGAGCGCUUUAUUCAUCUAUAUAUAUGUAAAAGGGAAAUUUGUGAAUUGGUGUCUGUUAGAAAUGUUUAGCAUACUUCCCAACAUACAAACUUGAAAUUUGGCAUGUGGGCAGCUUCCAGACUGUACACAAUGCAAAUAGUAUACAAAUAGACUUUUGUAGUUGGUGGGGGGGGUGGCGCAAUAAUGGAUGCGCCACGGAGGUUUUAGCGAGCGGGAAACAAGGUAUUUACCGGGUAAUAUUUCACGCUACCUUUACCCUACCGGGUUAUUCUUCUGCGCUACCUUUACCCUACCCUUUACCUUACCCCUUGAGAUGUCGACACCUUUACCUUUUACCCGGUAAAAAGGGUAAAUCACCUAACCUUGCCGAGGCCUACUCCACACAGAGAUCAGAGACACCACGCCUAUGCUCUGCACUAACUUUUAUUCUCGGCGCAAACCCUGCACUACCCGGAGGCAUCGCACGGACGCUGUGAUAGUCGGAGGGAAGAGGACGAAAAAACCUUGCCUACCACUGCCUCGUAGUGGCACUCGCUGACGUCACACGGAUGCUGCGAGCGGCUCGAGAAGGCAGGACGGCAGGGAGUGGGUCUUGGCGGCCAAGAGGUUGAAGAAAGUUCUGAUUUGAACGAACACCAGGCUCCCCUUUUAUCCUCCUGACUUCAAAAUCCUGGGGUUGCGUUGUACCGCGCGGCCAAUCGUGCGUCUGCCUGUGAUUACCGCCCGUUUUUUUUUGUCCUUACAUGGUGCUUCUGCGACCCAUUGCCUGUCCGUCCGUACUCAUUAAUUUAUUACUCACCCUUGUUAAUCCAGAAUGACGCUCGACUGGCGAAUACACACCUUGCAAGUGUAUUCGGUAUGGAGGUCGGGGGAGGUCGUGGCGCUGCAAUCCCCUGACCUCAUGGUCUGCCCUUCUCGCUUAAUAUUCCACCCCAGCCCCUCCCGAUGUCGUGAAUGACUCAUUGCGGCUGGCCUGGUGAACCUUUUUGCACCCAUACAAUAUUAAACCAACUCAGGGGCACCGCAAUGUGACCUGUCCUGCGAGGGUCGGCCAAUCUACUGUCACCGGGAAACCGUGGGACUUUCCUCCUAGGGACCCUUUGGAUUAAAACCCGUUGUGCCAGGCAAUCCGCCGCCAGGACACUACGUGUGUGUGCUCAGUGUGGGGGCCAGGGGGGAUUCGUGGCUCUUGCCAGGUUGCUUCGAGGCCGUGGCACCACAACUACUUCAUGUUCCAAGCUCAUGUCUUCAUGUUCCAAUUCACUUCUUCACGUACCAAGUUCAUGUCUUCAUGUUCCAAGCUAACUUCUGGCCACAUUGAGAAGCUGGGGUUUUCUCCCUUGUGGAUCUGCUCAUGCCUAUCUCAUACUUGUGAUCAUUUAAAAGCCUUCCCAUACAUAGUGUGCUUGAAGGGUUUCUCACCUGAGUGUGUUCUCUGGUGAGUACGAAGAUUUCCUAGCUGUGUAAACGCCUUCCCACUCACCGUGCACUUGAAGGUCUCACCUCUGUGUGUUCUCUCGUGAUUUUUAAGAUGCAAUGAACGUGAAAAUGCUAUCCCACACACUGCACUAGAAGAUAUUCUUGCCUGUGUGUGUUCUCUGGUGCGUGUGAAGAGUUCCUCUCUCUGUAUAUGCCUUUCCACAAACUGUACUUGUAGGGGUUCUCACCUGUGUGUAUUUUUUGUUGAUUUUUAAGAUGCAAUGAACGUAAAAAUGCCUUCCCACACACAUUGCACUUGAGUUUUUCGCCUGUGUCUACGAUGGGGUUCACGCCAUGAUAGGUAUUCAAGAAAAUGAGACCUGGUUAGUAGGGGUCAGCCUGGGCUGAUUCAAGCUCCAUCAAAAGAUCUCCAAGCUCUCAUAACCUUUUAUUGUCUCGACCAGAGAUUUUUGGAAAGUUCUGCAACUUCUUGAAGAGAGCCUUCUCAAUGGUUUCUGGGCUACCAUAGCACUCCUCGAGCCUCUCCCGCACCGCAUGCAGGCUUGAGGCAGGGUCGUCUAUGUUUGCCGACCGGAUCCUCUUUGCGUACUCUGCAGAUUCGUUUCCUAACCAUUUCACCAACAGGUCGAGUUCUUCACUUGCAGAUAUGUCUGCAUUUAUGAUUACAUUCCUGAAGGUAGAUCUCCAGGCUCGAUAGUUAUCAGAGUGGUCAUCAAACUUAACAAGUCCUGUGUUGAUUAGUUCGCGGUGAGCCAAGUACCUAGCAAAGUUCCCCUAAGCCUGCUGAUCCAGGGUGUGUCCAUACUGGCGCUUGUGAGGUGCCAUUGUUGGCUGCAUUGCCUUGCAUGUCGUCAUUCGCGAUGGCGUUGGAUUGUGAGCCCAAAGGGUUUCGAUCAUGUUGGUUUGAGCCCUUUAUGUGACUGUCUGGAAUGUGGGUCUGACUUGGUGCAUCCAUGUCUGACCCCACGUGUGCGACGCUGAGUCGCCGACUAACUGCCAGGGUAGGAUAUGCAUUUCCACCAUUCCCGUAGGCAGCAUUCAUGUUCACUCGGUAUGGAGAUGGCGAUGCCUCAACGUCCACCCUUUGUUCAGUAUCAUUUGGUGGAGGAGCAUUGGUGAAUUGUUCAGACCAGUCCAAAAUAUUUUUUCUGGUAAGUUGAUCACGGUCCUUGACAGGCAUCUGAGUGUCAAACUCACUCCAAUUCUCUUCCUUAUCCAGAUUGGCUGCUGCUUCGUGCACCUCUGCUUGGGCCCCAUACAUAGUGUGCUUGAAGGGUUUCUCACCUGAGUGUGUUCUCUGGUGCGUGCGAAGAGUUCCUAUCUCUGUAUACGCCUUUCCACAAACUGUACUUGUAGGGCUUCUCACCUGUGUGUAUUUUUGUUGAUUUUUAAGAUGCAAUGAACGUGAAAAUGCCUUCCCACACACAUUGCACUUGAAGAGUUUUUCGCCUGUGUCCUCUUGUGCUGGGUCAUACCGCUUCUCGUGCAUACCGUAUGGACAAUGGUGCUGUGACUCGGAUUGCGAUACGUGUGUCGUGUAGUAGAACGACACUACUGUGUUGGCUCGGUAUGGGGGCUGUAGGUGGGUGUCACGGAGGUCGUGUCAGGCCGUGACACUCUGCGUGAACCCAACAGGACACAUGACUGGAUAAAGGGGGGGCAGGGGCCCCAAGGGGGUCACGUGGUUGGGGGCUUGGGCCUUCCCAAAGGAUCGGGAAGGGGGGCGUGGCUUGGGGCGGAGCCGCCCACGCCGGAGUGGUUAUAAGCGGGGCGUGGAUGGAGAGCUGGGCUGUUCUGUGCUGUCCUGCUAUGCUGCUGGGUCAUCUCUGGGAUGAAGCUCUCCGGUAUCCGCUAGUGGACCAAGCAGCGUGUUGGGCUGUCCUGGUCCAGUGAUGUAGUACCCCCGUGGGUUAGCUAAGUUGUGAACGGUGGCUACCACCUUAAGUCGUUAUGUUAAGUGUUACCUGUUGUGUUAGCUAAAUAGUGUUGCCUCCAAAGUCCAGUGUGCGCCUGCAUUUAACCCACCACAUAUAUUGCAUUGCGUGAUUACUGCGCUGUGACAGUUCAAAUAUUCACGUUGCUCAGAAUUUUUUUGACAUUUUUUUCUCAUAUUCGGUCGUCAUGUUGACAUUGUUUGUCGGGCUUUCCUGUUCGUGUUGGUGAUAAACGCCUUGUCGGAAGAUGGACAACAGCAAAUUGGGAAAAUAUGUCGAUGAGCAUUUAACAACGGAUUCGGGAUAUGGGAGUCGCAGAGUGAGUUUUGGACGGGGCACAGCCACUUUGCGAUGUGUUGAUUCCACGCAAGGUGAAUUGGAUAAAUUAGAGGGUCCAGGCGCCUGCAGUACUGCAAUGGGACAGGCAGGGGAAAAGCCAAAAGUCUCAGGAGCAGAGAGAUGUCGUAAGUGAUUUGGUCACUCAGAUGGCACUGCAGAUUGGCCAAGAGGUCACAAUGCAUCUAGAAGGUAGCUUCUGACAGGAUGGUGCUAAUCGUUUACAUCUUACCGGUGUUGCAGAUCAGGGACAGCCUGCCCCCAUUACCUUUACAGGGUGUAUGACUGAUAAUCCGGCCAGAAGGCGGAGAUCAGGCGCGACCAGUGACCUUUGCCAGCAAAGCACUGACAUGGGCACAGAAUAGAUACCCUGCGCAUUGACUGGAAUUCCUUGCGUUCAAGUGCAGUGUCUGUGAGAAAUGUAGUCACUGGCUGAGGGGACACUUUCACCGUUUUCACUGGCAACAAUCUGCUGACGCAUAUCAUGACAAAGCCAAAGUUGGAUGCUUGUGAACAACGUUGGGUUACCAAGUUGGCCCUAUAUGCUUUUGAUAUCAAGCACAUACCGGGGAAGGGGAACGUUGUCGCCGAUGCUCUAAGCAGGGCUCCAAAUGGCCGCUCAGCAGCUUCGUACAGAUUCGCAUGUAGUUAUAGAUUUGAGAAUCGGCUCUGCGUUGCGCAGUUGUUUUCAUCAGUGGGGCGUGAAGUUGACAGCACAUUUGGUCGUUUAAGAUGGUCCAAUAUACUCGUUUGCUGGAGAGGCUGGUUCAAUAAACCCACAGUGUGUGAAAGG
Long non-coding RNA from Petromyzon marinus (sea lamprey), 5161 nucleotides. RefSeq lists it as uncharacterized. The record is from RefSeq and is a predicted model, not a curated record. Lineage: Eukaryota; Metazoa; Chordata; Hyperoartia; Petromyzontiformes; Petromyzontidae.